UUUAGGUUCUCGACAGAUUAAAAGGGAAUGCCGUGCAAAUCGGCAACAGACCCGCUGCUGUGAGUUUCACCAUAAUGUCUCUUUUGCAGAAGACCACUCCACUGAUUUUAUCUUACCGAAAAAUCGGGAAGGAAUACAAGAGAGACCGAAACGAGUCAGAAGACCUGCCUACACCGUA
RNAcentral lists this non-coding RNA (178 nucleotides) under human oral metagenome. The record is from RNAcentral.